AAAUUAUUAUGGAGUAUUAUUAUUGAGUUAGAUAUUGUGUUAAGAAUUGGGUUUAAAGUUGGAUUUAGUAUUGUUAGAAUGAGUUAGUAACGUUUUUAAGAAUUUUUUUUUUUUUAGGUAUUUUAGAUAUAUAUUGUUGUCGUUUCGUUUUUUAGUUUUGUGGAUAAAGUUAGGGGUUGAGAGUGGAGAUUAUUGUUUUUUUGAAAGGUGAU
This 212-nucleotide unclassified non-coding RNA is filed under the name Hevea brasiliensis (rubber tree). Lineage: Eukaryota; Viridiplantae; Streptophyta; Magnoliopsida; Malpighiales; Euphorbiaceae. The record is from RNAcentral.